Equus caballus (horse) is the source of this 4586-nucleotide non-coding RNA. The record is from RefSeq and is a predicted model, not a curated record. Lineage: Eukaryota; Metazoa; Chordata; Mammalia; Perissodactyla; Equidae.
GUUCUGUGCCCACUACUUCAGCCCCGUGGUCCCGGAGGCUGAAGAAGCAGCCUGGAAUCCGCCGGAAACCUACAUCACGAACACUUAGAGCGGCCUCCCGGAAGUGUCCCGGAGCCACCCGAGUCGCGGCGCCGCGGAGCUCAGCCUAGGUCUCACGAAAUUGAACGAGACUACGGAAGCCGGAAGGAUUGGGCUAAGAGUUUCCUGGGUUAAGCAUUUCCUGAGUUAAGGACUUUGUACGGUCUCGAGGCGGUGAUGCCCUGGAGAAAGAAAGAUGAAGAAAACACCUGAUUCUUGAGUGGUACAUGGUUUAAUAGAGGAGUAGAGGAUAUCUUGCAGCUUGGCUGACCCACUUUUGGGGAUGGGAGGAUUAAUGAGCUCCCUAAACCAAAACUUCUGAGGAAAGGGACUUUGGAGGAAUCAGUGUACAUCUCAUGGACUGUACCCAACAGAAAGCAAGAGGACAAGAGAGCUCGUAGAUGUUAUCCAGGCAGGUUCACACAUAUAUGCCUUCCUCACCGCAGAGAGGUGGAGAGUGGAUUCUUUCUGACCUCUGCUUCCCUGAAUCCUUCAUGGGUUCUACUUCCUUCUCCUCCCCACUAUGCUCACAUACUGUCUUUAAUCAUUGGCUCUCCUCACUCAAAGUUCUCUUCCUUGGUGAUCUCACCCUUUCUCACUUUCUUAUAACUACCAAGACUCUGUCAGUCCUUUCUGAAACUUCAGCUCUAUCUCUAGCUGGGUUUGGUUUUAGAUUUUCUUGAGAAACUAAACCAAAACCAAAAAGUAGAUUCAUCUUCCUCCAGGGCCACUAUAGCUCACUAUUUAUAUGACUGUUUUGCAGUGUAAGGACUGUGGUAGUAUGCAUACUAUUCAUUGAGAAAACUGUAGUCAACUUAGAAAACAAUAUUUUUCUUCUCAACAUAACCGAGGAGGAUCAGAUAUCCACUCUCUGACUCAGUGCUGUUGUGUUUAUUUGAUUUGGACAGACUAUACCUGAAACCGCUUGUGUGAUCAGCUAGGAUUCCUGCAUGUUCCAGAGCAUGCGGGAGUUGAAAUUAAAAAGAAUUCCUGAGAUAUAAUGUGCAGUCUAGCACAUAGCAUUGGCAAUCAUAUACCAGGUAAAUGUCCUGUAACUCUGUUCCAAUUCAUUGGCCUAAGUAUUUUGACUCUAGGGCAUGUAGUCUUAAUGCUUCAUUCUCCUGGAUGUGGGAGUUGGACCAAAAGGGAGGCAUCAAAGAUGAUGUUUUGAAUCCAAGUGAUGGGGACAAUAAUGGGAAGUCACAAAGGCAGCAAGUUUUGAGGGGAAGAUGAAGAAUUCCAUUUGAAUUUGUGCUGUCUGAAAGCAAGUGUCCAUUAAGCAAUUGGAUAUGGGGAGGGCACAGGGAAUAUUGGGAUUUUAGCAAAGUAAUUGCGUCCAGUGAGAAAUAUUUGGGAGACAGCAGCAUAGAAGUGGUAGUUGAACCUGUCAUGAGCUUGUCCCUCACAAGCAUGUAGAAUCAGAAGGAAAAAGGGCUUAGUUUUCCUCACCUUCUCUGCUACCUACUGUCUAAUGCAAGACAUCAAAAUCUUCGAUCUUUUGCAAUAAUCUCCCUACUGUUCUCUAUUUUGGCUCCUAUUCAAUCCAUUCUCCCACACAGCCUGAAGCCCAGGUGAUCUUUUUAAACGUGGGUCUUCAAAGUUUAAAACCAUCAAAGUUUUCUCAUUACUCUUGGAAUAAAAUCUACACAAGUGCUUUGGAAAGUCUAACAAGGCCUUGAAGGCACAUGGUCGACUUUCCAUCUUACUUCAUCUUACACUGUUGUCUCCUUUUCUCUCUAAGUUCCUGUCAUGCUGGCUUUUUAAAAUUUCUGGCAAACACCAAGUUCUUUUUCACAUCAGGACCUUUGCUCCAAAUCUUCAUUUGCUGGUUUCUUUUUAUCCUUCAGAGAAGUUUCCCUUAUCCCCCAAAUGUAAAGAGUUCUCCAUCACUACAUUUUAUUCUUUUGCUUCAUAAUGUUGUUCUGAGUUUAGAAUUAUACAAUGAUUAGUGUGUUUACUUUUAAAAUAUCUACAUUUCCCAUUGGAUUGUAAGGAAUCUACUCAAUGCUCACUACCUACCAAUACUCCUCAUUAAGUACUUGUUGAAUGAAUGAAUCUCUAUUCAUUCAUCUAUUCAUCUAAUUCAUCUACACUAUAAUUAUCAAUAUUCUCUAUCAUUUAUUUAUUCCCUCUAUAUUAUUUAUCUAUCAUUUAUUUAUAUGAUUCUCUGUGGAUUGGUACUAAGUAGCUGAAACUCUAAAGCCCCAUUUUUUGUCUCCCCAAAGUAUAAAGAGAUCAUUGUUAUACUUUACGCAAGGAGCUGCAGAUGAAUUUCUGUCAAGAUCAAAUAAAGACAGCAACAUUUAGAUGGAAGACAGGAAUGACCUUCUUUUUCUAUGUUCUGUUUAGAAAAAAACCCUCAUUUCCAUAAUUGGCUAUGGUGUUGUCUAUAAAUAUUAUGCAAAUACCUUGAGUCCUUGUAAUGCAAGAUAGGUUAUAAUGAGAAAUGAGUAGCAGUGGCCCUGAAGACAAACAAUCCUCUGGGUAUGAAUUUUUCCAACAUGCUUAUGGAGUGCUAUAACAGGGAUUGUUUAUGAAAUAAAGAAAGGUGGGGCAGAAUCUGUUCUUUCACUAGAUCUCUUUAUUUUUUACUCCUUUCCUACUUUUUCUGUUUCCUCAAGGGCAGACGGUGAGAGAAGGGAGAGUAUAGGAAAAGGUGAAAAAUCUUACACGUAAUCGGCCUGUAAGAGCCUCUUAAUAAAGAAGGCACUGAGCAAGUUGUGUAUCUAGGCUGAGCUCUUAUGACCCACCCUUUGCCCCUGCCCCUGGAGAGACACUCUCUUUCUCCUGGAUUUCUCUAUUUCUGGCAGAAAAUUAGGGUAUGUGAGGUAGCUUGCUCCUGGUUACCUUCUGUGGUCUCCCAUUGGCCCACAGGAAUUCACAUCUUUAGUUCAAUGGGGGAAGGGUAGGCUAUUCCCCCUUGCCUCCUUCUGUCUUUUCUGCCGUCAUGGGAAGCUCCAGCCACCUUCAUAAUCUUCAGGUGGAGGCAAGCAUUCGUCUUCCUGUUCUCAAAUACUCCCCAAAGCCAGGGGUCACAUGGCUGGUUUACUCUCUCUCUUAGCAUUCCGACCUUGGUGGUCACACCAAGAUGGUCCUCGGAGUUUUGGGGUCCAGCAAAAUGCCACCUCUGGAAGUGAGAUAUUUGUUUCCCUUUCCCUAAGGUUCUCCCGGUCUUUAAGAGUGGUUCUCUGGGGGCUCUUCUACUAGGAGAAGAGAAGAAAGCCACUGUGCUCUCUUCUAUGAAUGCCCUUACCAAAAGUUCUCCCUUCCUCUGUCCUUCCCCCACUUCAGUCCCUUCUCAAAACAGCUGCCAGAGUAAUCCUUUGAAAAACUCAAGUUCGAUUAGGUCACUCCUUUCCUAAGAAUUCUCCAGUGGUUUCUCAUCUCAUUCAGAAUCAAAUUCAAAAUUCUUAUCAUGGUCCCUAUGCUCCCAUUGGUCUGUCCCUCACUAUUUCUCUGAUCCUGUUUUCUGCUAUUUCUUUUCCUUUAGCUCAUUCUGCUCCUUGCUUUUCCUUGAACACACCAGGCUUGCUCCUUUCCAUUUACCUGGAAUAUUCUUCCUUCAAACAUCCAUUUGGCUAGCUUCUUCAUCUACUUUUACUUGGAUGUCAUUUUCUCAGCGAGACCUUAUCUGAAACAGCCCCGGACCCCUUCUUCUGGCAUCUGAGCAGUGCUAACAAUGGAUAUCCUGGGUUUUUAAGGUUCAUAGCCAUUAUUUCUUUACCUGAAUCUAAAAUGAAUAUGUAAUUUUUUUCACUUUAUUGAUUUGUUUAAUGUAUCCAUCCAUUUAGCUCAUAUGUUCCUGGGGAGGCAGAAUCAUGACCCUUUUUACUAGUUUUGUAGCAAAUAGUUACUUAAUAAAUGUUUUUUGAAGUUUGGAGAAAAAUCCAUAUAGACUGAAUAGUUUUUGAAGCUCUCUAAAAGCUCAUUGCAGGACAUGUAGUUUACUGAUUUAAACACUUUGGUUAUUGAAAAUUAUGAUGAAUUUUUAGUAGACUUCCUACACUCUGAUUUCUACUCUCAUGCUUCCUUAAUAACACUGUCAGAUAGCAGUUGUUAAAAGACUGCUUUCAUCAUCUUCCUCCUUUGCUUAAAACCUUCAAAAUCAGUUGUAUGUCAUUGUAUGUGUGUGCACAUUCAUGCAUGUGUGUAUCAUGUUAAGCCAAAGCUGACUUGUUUCUCCCUCCCUCUUUUCCUUCAUUCCUUCCUCAUUAUUUUUUAUCACUUUAUUACUAUCCAUGAGCACCAUUAUAUACUAAGUCUGUUUUAGCUAUUUUACCUACAAAAUCUCUCUAUAACCCUCAUAAUAUCUUGCAAGGAUCUAUUAUUAUACUCAUUUUACAGUUGGAGAAAAUGGGGCUUGUACUGGUUAAGUAGCCUGUCCCAGGUUACCCAGCUAGUGGAGUGGCAGAAUUGCAACUAGGAUCUAAAUCUGCCUGUUCCUCGGGGCCGGACUGGUGGCACAGCAGUUAAAUUCACACCGGGGUUCACCAGUUCGGAUCCCGGGU